This 2609-nucleotide long non-coding RNA is filed under the name Rattus norvegicus (Norway rat). RNAcentral describes it as "long non-coding RNA NONRATT000217". The record is from RNAcentral. Lineage: Eukaryota; Metazoa; Chordata; Mammalia; Rodentia; Muridae.
UUGCUCAUGAGAAAAUUGCUCUCCAAAUUGGCUUGCGUGGGCUGAAAUGGCUGGAUGAGGCCAUGUGUAUACAUAUCUAUAGACUGUGUAUGUGGAGCUUAAGACAUGUCUCAGUACACCAGUAACUGAUGCUGGGAGUUGAAUGGCUUAGUGCUUUUCUGCCUGAAACACACCGUUCCUGCCAGCCGGGCACUAACAAUUAUCACCCAAUCCAGGACUUAAACUGUGAUAGAGUGGCUGAUAGAGUGUCCAAAGAUGGGACCACUGGUCAGCUGCCAUGGACUAGAUUCUCCACCGGUUGGGGACAAUCUGGUCACCUUGCUGCCCAAUCCGGACCUGGAGCCACCACAGCACGAGUGUCAAACACUGACAGAAGCACAUGGGUGGAGGAAAGACCUCUGCGACUGGCUGAUUGACCCCUGCUGAAAGCCGAGGACCUUGUCCACAGAUGGGAACAGUUCUCUUCAUGAAUGAAGGUCAGAGACAAGUGGGUGCUGCCAUGGUGGACAACACAAUGUCAUCUAGAAUGGCUGAACCUCUACCCCCCCCAGCACAUCAGCGCCACAGAUGCCUUUGCCAUCUCUUAGAUGCCCGGAUGAAGCCAACAACUGUGAGUACUAUUCAUUGCCCAGGAAAACAGGAGGGAAGAGAUUCAGUGACAUGGGGCAGUGACAAAACAGAUAAAGUGGCUCGGGAAAUGGCUAUACAGGAGCCUAUCCUGGUUACAGGCCUGCAAGAGACAGCCACUGAGAACUAGGAUUAGACUAAGGGAUGGCCUCACUUAGAAAAGGCCCAAAUUGCUUAAAAGAUAAAGGACAAUGGCACACUUGAGGGGAAGCUAUACUCCCCAAAGAACAAACAAAAGACUCACUUUGCCAAAUUAAAAAAUAGACUCAUUUAAGAGAUAAGAAGUUUGUCCAAAUAGUUAAAAUAUAUAUAAUAGACUUUAAGAUUUUAGCCAAGAGAGACAGUAAAAAGUAUAAGAUAUGUCAAUAAAUAAAUGCUUAACAAACAAACAGGGCAAAGAGACCUAGAGAGUUUAGUGAAAAGUCGAAGUGAACUUCACUGAGAUAAAACCAAAAAAAUAUAAUCACAAGUAUCUCCUAGUGCUUGUAGAUACUUUUUCAAGAAUAGAUAGAAGCUUUCCUCACCAAACGAGAGACGGCCUCUACAAUCAUCAAGAAGAUACUGAAAGAAAUCUUCCCCAGGUCUGGAAUGCCCAAGGUAAUCUGGUCAGACAACGGUCCUACUUUCGUUGCCAAGGUAAGCCAGGGUGUGGCCAAAUAUUUAGAGGUCGAUUGGAAAUUACAUUAUAUUUACAGACCUCAAAGUUCAAGACAGGUAGAGUAAAUAAACAGAACUCUAAAAGAGACCCUAAACAAAUUGACCAUGGAGACUGGCACAGACUGGGUGACACUCCUUCCCUCUUGCUCUCUUCAGAGCAAGAAAUACCCCUUCCAGAUUCAGCCUUACCCCCUUUGAGAUCUUAUAUGGGGCCUCAGCUCCCCUGACUGUAUUAGAUGAUGUUACUGAACCAACAUGUCAUAGUAAUAAUGAUUUGUGUGCCAGGCUAAAAGACCUACAGGUGAUACAGAAAGAAAUCUGCUCACAGCUGACAGCAGCCUAUGCCCCGGAGACCCCUGAGACAUCCCAUCAGUUCCAGGUCGGAAGCAGCUACACUGAGCCCAGACACUCGAUCCUCGCUGGAAAGGACCAUACCUGGUGCUGCUGACCACCCUGACAGCCGUCAAUUCUCAGCCCUCACCAGCCGUGUACUAGCUGUUAGGGCUGAGAGCUGGGACCUAGAGAGAAAUUCAGUCAUGUUUGUCCUGGGUUCCAUCGAGAUAGGUGUGGGGAUAGGCUUGAUUUCUAUUACAAAUGAUGUAACAUUACAUAUGUUAGUACUCCUAACACUUCUUGGGACUGUGCCUCAGGGAUCACAACCUAUAUAAGUUUAGAAGUUCUGAAAGACAGUCAUGACCUUGGUGUAUAGGUUCAGAUAGUGUCCAGAUUGAAAUCCUGAUGCUAAAGACUUAGUAAGAGACAAAAAAAAAAGAGUUGAGAAUUACUUAGGGCUAGGGCUAUCUAGGUGCUACAAGGGCAGCACAAGGACAUCUGCUGUUGCCCUACAAUACAAGGCUUAUAGAGAAUUCAGAACUGCCAUUGACUCAGAUAUAAAAAGAGUAAAAGACUUUUUAGCUGACCUCCAAGAAUACCUAACCUCCCUCUCAGAGGUAGUCCUUCAAAAUAAAAAAAGAUUAGACCUGAUAUUCCUUAAAGAAAGAGUCUGUGUGCUAUACUAAAAGAAAAAUGUUGCUUCUAUACAGACCAUUCAGGAGUAAUUAAAGACUCCAUAAAUAAACUUAGAAAAAGGUUAGACAAAAGACAGACAGAAAAACACAUCAGAGAUAGUUCGAGAGCUAGUUUAGUAGAUCUCCCUGGAUGACUACCCUACUCUCUGCUACAGGUGGGCCAUUAUUAAUAAUUUUCUUGGUUUUAGUUUUUGGCUCCUGCGUGACAAACAGGUUAAUUACUUUUGUUAAAAAUCGAGUGGGUGCUGUGCGGUUGAUGUUGUGAGACAACAGUACCAGUCAGUUAGGACAACUGGU